This 274-nucleotide ribosomal RNA is filed under the name uncultured bacterium. RNAcentral describes it as "partial 16S ribosomal RNA". It matches the Rfam family "Bacterial small subunit ribosomal RNA", at positions 523 to 796 of the family's 1533-position model. The record is from RNAcentral.
AUACGGAGGGUCCAAGCGUUGUUCGGAAUCAUUGGGCGUAAAGCGGACGUAGGCGGCUUGGUACGUCGGAUGUGAAAUCCCAGGGCCCAACCCUGGAACUGCAUUCGAAACUGCCAGGCUAGAGUCGCGGAGAGGAUGGCGGAAUUCCCGGUGUAGGGGUGAAAUCCGUAGAUAUCGGGAGGAACACCAGUGGCGAAGGCGGCCAUCUGGACGCUGACUGACGCUCAGGUCCGAAAGCGUGGGGAGCAAACAGGAUUAGAAACCCCAGUAGUCC